CCUACGGGAGGCAGCAGUGGGGAAUAUUGCACAAUGGGCGCAAGCCUGAUGCAGCCAUGCCACGUGUAUGAAGAAGGCCUUCGGGUUGUAAAGUACUUUCAGCGGGGAGGAAGGCGAUAAGGUUAAUAACCUUGUCGAUUGACGUUACCCGCAGAAGAAGCACCGGCUAACUCCGUGCCAGCAGCCGCGGUAAUACGGAGGGUGCAAGCGUUAAUCGGAAUUACUGGGCGUAAAGCGUGCGCAGGCGGCCCUUUAAGUCAGGUGUGAAAGCCCCGGGCUUAACCUGGGAAUGGCGCUUGAAACUGGAGGGCUUGGAGUGCGGCAGAGGAGGGUGGAAUUCCUGGUGUAGCGGUGAAAUGCGUAGAGAUCAGGAGGAACACCGAUGGCGAAGGCAGCCCCCUGGGCCGCGUCUGGCGCUCAGGCACGAAAGCGUGGGGAGCAAACAGGAUUAGAUACCUGGUAGUCCACGCCCUAAACGAUGUCGACUAGUUGUUGGGGGAGUUAGAUCCUUCGGUAACCACUAACGCGUGUAGUCGACCGCCUUGGGGAGUACGGCCGCAAGGUUAAACUCAAAGAAUUGACGG
Molecule: ribosomal RNA, 584 nt
Filed under: uncultured bacterium
Lineage: Bacteria
Description: bacterial SSU rRNA
Rfam family: Bacterial small subunit ribosomal RNA
Source: RNAcentral